CUAUCCCAUUGAAGAGAUCAAUGGUCUGCGACACUGCCAGACUGAAGGGUUGUAGGGUGAGGUGCCUUAGCAGGAGGAUGGAGGUAAUUGCAAUCCCAUCGAAGAGAUCGGGGGCCUGAGAGACUGCGAGGCUGAGCAGUCAUAGUGUGAGGUGCUUUCGCAGGAAGAUUGCGGUAAUUGCAAUCCAGUUAAAGAGAUCGAGGGCCGGCGAGAUUGGGAUGGAUUGCUGCACUACGGGAUGGAGGCGGACAGCCGAGGUCAUCGCAGUUUGGGGAAAGGUUGGGGAAGCUCGGCGGAACGAAGGGGUCGCGGGGGCUGACGCCGACAUCGAGGGACUGAUACACUUAAUUGCUUAAAAU
This 359-nucleotide long non-coding RNA is filed under the name Spirodela polyrhiza (greater duckweed). RNAcentral describes it as "long non-coding RNA (SPOL_LNC000425)". Lineage: Eukaryota; Viridiplantae; Streptophyta; Magnoliopsida; Alismatales; Araceae. The record is from RNAcentral.